Molecule: ribosomal RNA, 231 nt
Filed under: uncultured bacterium
Lineage: Bacteria
Description: partial 16S ribosomal RNA
Source: RNAcentral
UGUGUCAGUCCCAGUGUGACUGGUCGUCCUCUCAGACCAGCUAGUGAUCGAUCCCUUGGUAGGCCUUUACCCCCCCAACUAGCUAAUCAGAUAUCGGCCGCUCCACGAGCAUGAGGUCUUGCGAUCCCCCACUUUCAUCCGUAGAUCGUAUGCGGUAUUAGCUAAUCUUUCGCCUAGUUAUCCCCCACUCCAGGGCACGUUCCGAUAUGUUAAUUCAACCCAAUUUCGGAG